GACGAACGCUGGCGGCGUGCCUAACACAUGCAAGUCGAGCGGGGAUUUAAGUGGAAGUUCUUCGGAAUGGAGAUUUAAAUUCUAGCGGCGGACGGGUGAGUAACGCGUGAACAAUCUGUCCCGGACAGGGGGAUAACACUUGGAAACAGGUGCUAAUACCGCAUAAGACCACGGCCUCGCAUGGGGCUGAGGUAAAAGGAGCAAUCCGGUUCGGGGUGAGUUCGCGUCCGAUUAGCUAGUUGGUGAGGUAACGGCCCACCAAGGCGACGAUCGGUAGCCGGCCUGAGAGGGUGAACGGCCACAUUGAAACUGAGAGACGGUCCAAACUCCUACGGGAGGCAGCAGUGGGGAAUAUUGGGCAAUGGGCGAAAGCCUGACCCAGCAACGCCGCGUGAGGGAAGAAGGUUUUCGGAUUGUAAACCUCUGUCCUAUGGGACGAAGGAAGUGACGGUACCAUAGGAGGAAGCCCCGGCUAACUACGUG
Molecule: ribosomal RNA, 483 nt
Filed under: uncultured bacterium
Lineage: Bacteria
Description: partial 16S ribosomal RNA
Rfam family: Bacterial small subunit ribosomal RNA
Source: RNAcentral